AAAAAUGCACAUAUUGUGAGCUCGAUGAGUAGGGCGGGACACGUGGUAUCCUGUCUGAAUAUGGGGGGACCAUCCUCCAAGGCUAAAUACUCCUGACUGACCGAUAGUGAACCAGUACCGUGAGGGAAAGGCGAAAAGAACCCCGGCGAGGGGAGUGAAAAAGAACCUGAAACCGUGUACGUACAAGCAGUGGGAGCACGCUUAGGCGUGUGACUGCGUACCUUUUGUAUAAUGGGUCAGCGACUUAUAUUCUGUAGCAAGGUUAACCGAAUAGGGGAGCCGAAGGGAAACCGAGUCUUAACUGGGCGUUAAGUUGCAGGGUAUAGACCCGAAACCCGGUGAUCUAGCCAUGGGCAGGUUGAAGGUUGGGUAACACUAACUGGAGGACCGAACCGACUAAUGUUGAAAAAUUAGCGGAUGACUUGUGGCUGGGGGUGAAAGGCCAAUCAAACCGGGAGAUAGCUGGUUCUCCCCGAAAGCUAUUUAGGUAGCGCCUCGUGAAUUCAUCUCCGGGGGUAGAGCACUGUUUCGGCAAGGGGGUCAUCCCGACUUACCAACCCGAUGCAAACUGCGAAUACCGGAGAAUGUUAUCACGGGAGACACACGGCGGGUGCUAACGUCCGUCGUGAAGAGGGAAACAACCCAGACCGCCAGCUAAGGUCCCAAAGUCAUGGUUAAGUGGGAAACGAUGUGGGAAGGCCCAGACAGCCAGGAUGUUGGCUUAGAAGCAGCCAUCAUUUAAAGAAAGCGUAAUAGCUCACUGGUCGAGUCGGCCUGCGCGGAAGAUGUAACGGGGCUAAACCAUGCACCGAAGCUGCGGCAGCGACG
RNAcentral lists this ribosomal RNA (828 nucleotides) under Escherichia coli. RNAcentral describes it as "partial 23S ribosomal RNA". It matches the Rfam family "Bacterial large subunit ribosomal RNA", at positions 381 to 1213 of the family's 2925-position model. Lineage: Bacteria; Pseudomonadati; Pseudomonadota; Gammaproteobacteria; Enterobacterales; Enterobacteriaceae. The record is from RNAcentral.